AGCGAACGCUGGCGGCGUGCCUAACACAUGCAAGUCGAGCGCGGGCAUUUCGGGGGUAACCCCGGGAUGUGCUGAGCGGCGGACGAGUGAGUAAUACGUGGACAACCUGCCUUAAAGCUUGGGAUAACUCCGGGAACUGGAGCUAAUACCGGAUAAGACCACGGUGUCUAUGGAUGCUGAGGUAAAAGGCGGCCAGGAAACUGGCUGUUGCUUAAAGAUGGGUCCACGUCCCAUCAGGUAG
RNAcentral lists this ribosomal RNA (241 nucleotides) under uncultured bacterium. Its description in RNAcentral is "partial 16S ribosomal RNA". It matches the Rfam family "Bacterial small subunit ribosomal RNA", at positions 29 to 248 of the family's 1533-position model. The record is from RNAcentral.